GUAUGUAUGUAUGUACAUACAUG
This 23-nucleotide microRNA is filed under the name Drosophila melanogaster (fruit fly). RNAcentral's name for it is "dme-miR-9388-5p". The record is from miRBase by way of RNAcentral. Lineage: Eukaryota; Metazoa; Arthropoda; Insecta; Diptera; Drosophilidae.